ACGGCUCAGUAACACGUAGUCAACCUAACCUAUGGACGGGAAUAACCUCGGGAAACUGAGAAUAAUGCCCGAUAGAACACUAUACCUGGAAUGGUUUGUGUUCCAAAUGAUUUAUCGCCGUAGGAUGGGACUGCGGCCUAUCAGUUUGUUGGUGAGGUAAUGGCCCACCAAGACUAUUACAGGUACGGGCUCUGAGAGGAGUAGCCCGGAGAUGGGUACUGAGACACGGACCCAGGCCCUAUGGGGCGCAGCAGGCGAGAAAACUUUGCAAUGUGCGAAAGCACGACAAGGUUAAUCCGAGUGGUUUGUGCUAAACGAACCUUUUGUCGGUCCUAGAAACACCGAUGAAUAAGGGGUGGGCAAGUUCUGGUGUCAGCCGCCGCGGUAAAACCAGCACCUCAAGUGGUCAGGAUGAUUAUUGGGCCUAAAGCAUCCGUAGCCGGCUCUGUAAGUUUUCGGUUAAAUCUGUACGCUCAGCGUACAGGCUGCCGGGAAUACUGCAGAGCUAGGGAGUGGGAGAGGUAGACGGUACUCGGUAGGAAGGGGUAAAAUCCUUUGAUCUAUUGAUGACCACCUGUGGCGAAGGCGGUCUACCAGAACACGUCCGACGGUGAGGGAUGAAAGCUGGGGGAGCAAACCGGAUUAGAUACCCGGGUAGUCCCAGCUGUAAACUAUGCAAACUCAGUGAUGCAUUGGCUUGUGGCCAAUGCAGUGCUGCAGGGAAGCCGUUAAGUUUGCCGCCUGGGAAGUACGUACGCAAGUAUGAAACUUAAAGGAAUUGGCGGGGGAG
This 790-nucleotide ribosomal RNA is filed under the name uncultured archaeon. RNAcentral describes it as "bacterial SSU rRNA". It matches the Rfam family "Archaeal small subunit ribosomal RNA", at positions 85 to 876 of the family's 1478-position model. The record is from RNAcentral.